Molecule: unclassified non-coding RNA, 777 nt
Filed under: Hevea brasiliensis (rubber tree)
Lineage: Eukaryota; Viridiplantae; Streptophyta; Magnoliopsida; Malpighiales; Euphorbiaceae
Source: RNAcentral
AUUACAAUAAUGACUCAACUUGGGAAGAUCGUCAAAGUUUCAAAUCUUCCGUUUCAUUCAACCGUAGUAGCACCAGCCCAAUUCGCAGCACUUCCCCUGCGCGGAAUGCUGUGGAGUUUGGUGUACAAGUCCACCUGGAAAAUCACAGCAUUGACAUUUCCUUCAUCAUCUUCACGCGCAAUUCCUUUUACUUUGUGCAUUGGAUGAUCAAAGCUUAUUAGCCCAGUGUCACUUAUGAAGAUACAACCUGGAGGAAACGGGGUAUACAAUUUCCCACAAGAAGCUUGAAUGAACUCUGAAUCAUCAGAACAUACUAAUGAUCCAUCUGUAGCAGUUCCCCAGUGUAACGGCACACUUCCAUCGCGAUCCCUAGCAAGAAAAAGAGUGGAGGCUUUAUAGUCAAAGAGAAUGAAAGCAAAUUUGCCUUCAAGUUCUUUGAUGACUUGAUCAGGAGGGUAUGGCGCCCGAUCCCUUAAAACUUUGUAAGCCUCAACCAUUAUCAUAGCUUCUGUAGCUUGUCUUGAAAGACCAUAAUAUUUCCUCAAAUCAAAAGUGUUGUCUAAACCACCAGAAAAGAUGCAGAAUAUGUCAUCCAUCACCACAAUAGACCUUGGAUGGAAAGGGUUUUCAUUUCCAUGAGAAAAAGCCAUGAAAUUCCCAUUUGAAAGGUGGUAAAAAGUUGAGUCUGGCUUCCAUGAUUUGAAACUUUCUUCAAUCUCUUCCUUUGUUUUAGCCUCCUUUUUCUGUCUAUCUGUCUGAGCAACGCUCAGCUCUGAA